CUACGAAGGGGGCUAGCGUUGUUCGGAAUUACUUGGCGUAAAGCGCGCGUAGGCGGACUGAUCAGUUGGGGGUGAAAUCCCAGGGCUUAACCCUGGAACUGCCUCCAAUACUGUCAGUCUUGAGUUCGGGAGAGGUGAGUGGAAUUCCUAGUGUAGAGGUGAAAUUCGUAGAUAUUAGGAAGAACACCAGUGGCGAAGGCGGCUCACUGGCCCGAUACUGACGCUGAGGCGCGAAAGCGUGGGGAGCAAACAGGAUUAGAAACCCUAGUAGUCC
RNAcentral lists this ribosomal RNA (274 nucleotides) under uncultured bacterium. RNAcentral describes it as "partial 16S ribosomal RNA". It matches the Rfam family "Bacterial small subunit ribosomal RNA", at positions 523 to 796 of the family's 1533-position model. The record is from RNAcentral.